CCUACGGGUGGCUGCAGUAGGGAAUAUUGCGCAAUGGGGGAAACCCUGACGCAGCAACGCCGCGUGAGUGAUGAAGGCUUUCGGGUUGUAAAGCUCUGUUGUACGGGGAAAACGUUGCUAUGGCUAAUAUCCAUAGCAAGUGAUUGUACCGUAUAAGAAAGGACCGGCUAACUUCGUGCCAGCAGCCGCGGUAAGACGGGGGGUCCUAGCGUUGUUCGGAAUUAUUGGGCUUAAAACGUUUGCUGGUAGUUCCUUGGGCUUAACCCAAGACGUGCAUUCAAAACUGCCAAACUUGAGUAUGGAAGAGGAUCGUGGAAUUCCUAGUGUAGUGGUGAAAUACGUAGAUAUUAGGAGGAACACCGGAGGCGAAGGCGGCGAUCUGGUCCAAUACUGACACUCAAACACGAAAGCGUGGGGAUCAAACAGGAUUAGAUACCCUAGUAGUC
This 446-nucleotide ribosomal RNA is filed under the name uncultured bacterium. RNAcentral's name for it is "partial 16S ribosomal RNA". It matches the Rfam family "Bacterial small subunit ribosomal RNA", at positions 338 to 795 of the family's 1533-position model. The record is from RNAcentral.